UACGAAGGGGGCUAGCGUUGCUCGGAAUCACUGGGCGUAAAGCGCACGUAGGCGGAUUGCUAAGUCAGGGGUGAAAUCCUGGAGCUCAACUCCAGAACUGCCUUUGAUACUGGGGAUCUCGAGUCCGGAAGAGGUGAGUGGAACUCCGAGUGUAGAGGUGAAAUUCGUAGAUAUUCGGAAGAACACCAGUGGCGAAGGCGGCUCACUGGCCCGGUACUGACGCUGAGGUGCGAAAGCGUGGGGAGCAAACAGG
Molecule: ribosomal RNA, 253 nt
Filed under: uncultured bacterium
Lineage: Bacteria
Description: partial 16S ribosomal RNA
Rfam family: Bacterial small subunit ribosomal RNA
Source: RNAcentral